Molecule: long non-coding RNA, 1612 nt
Organism: Daphnia pulex (common water flea)
Lineage: Eukaryota; Metazoa; Arthropoda; Branchiopoda; Diplostraca; Daphniidae
Exons: 5
Source: RefSeq, a predicted model, not a curated record
UUUUUCUCGUGUCGCAAACAAAUGCAAAUGCCGCUCAAAGUUGUUUAUAUUUGUUCAAUAUUCUUUGUUUUUAAUUUUUUAUGGACCAAAUUCAACCCCAAAAUGAUGUGAAGGUAAAUUUCUAACUUUCUUAAGCACCAUUUUUUUUUACCCUUUAAUACACCCAUCUAUGUAUGUUACAAUUCUAUUCUACAUAAUUAAUGUGUGCAAUGCCUGUCAUCUCAUCAAGGUUGCAUUAGCAUUAAUAGAUCAAUGGGAUCAUUGGCAUUUCAAAUUUUUACAUAAAGUUGCUGAAUAGACAAUACUCUUUUUGAGCUAAGGAUUCUCAUUGCAUUCUUGACUAAAUAUUUUCAUAAAAUUUAUCUAGCUGACAUUUUCAGGGUGCAGGCCGCAGGGUGCCUGUGACAAUAGGGAUACAAUGGUGAAUGGUCCAAUACAGUAAGCCAAGCUGAAAAAUCAAUCUAAAAAACAAAGGAAAUUUUAUGGCAUGGUUUCUUUGUUUAAUUGUUUUCACUGGUUUUAACGGACAUAAUAUGUAAGCAAGUCUGGAAGAGUAGACUGAUCACAUGGGAUGACUGAUAUCUCAUCAUCAUCAUUGUUUAUUGUUACACACAUCUCUGUAUUUUACUAUUCCUAGAUGAUCUUUGUGUGAUUUGUUGUCCCAUCAGAUUAUAUUAAUGGAGCAUGGAAAUUCCCAAUUUUCACACAAGCCUCAUCUGAAUAUUUUGUAUUACCACAGCUUUAGCUGUUCAGCUACAGACAUAAACUUUUCAGCCCAAUAUAUGGGAUGAAUGCAAAAGUUCAUGAUAAAGAUAAUAUAGUAUUAAUCCGUUGGCUGCUACCAUGAAUUUUCCUCUUUGACUUUCUUAGAACGGGUCCGCUCUUGAUUUGAGGUUAAUCCUGCGCCGCUUUUCAAUUACUGAAUUCAUUGGUGGAACCUGACGACAAAUCUGCAACCACUGACUGACGUGCUGUCAUUCAGCAAUACCGCCACUUGCAGAAAAUGACGAUUUACCACAGUCGUUAUGAAGUGCAUCAAUUUCCCAACGUACUCAACAUCACAAAGAUGUAAUGCUCUCUAUCAAUCCUACUAUAUACACUCGCCAGAAAUGUUCAGUUGGUUUGUUUCUUUUCCCUAUCCAGAAUCCCAUCAUCAGAUUGAAGAAGGGAUACUUUCUAGAGAUUCAUUUUUUGCUUUGCGUCGAUCGCACUCACGUCUGGUAGGCCUACGAAUGGUUUGUGACGAAACCUCUUUCCAGUGCCGAUCAGUGUUCACAAACUGUUGGAUCGAUCGCACAAAAUGUAACUAAAGGACAAAUGCAAUCACACUACCCGACCAUGAAAGAAAGUAAUACAAACAUGUCACUAUACCCGACCUUCCAUCAAAUAAACUGCUGCUGCAGUUUAGAAAAUCUGAAAACCUGGAGCCUUGGAUUACCGUAAGAUGAAAUAGGCCUGCCAAGCCCCGUCAAUUUGAACGUAUGGAAGUUUUGGCCACGACUGAAUUUGAAAAGGCUCUUUGUCAACAAGAAAAAACCAUCUGAUCCAAAAAAAAUUUAGGCAAGUUGUUCCCACAAUAUAGUAGACAAAAGAACGUAAAGAACUAAUAGUU